CCCUGUCAGUCAAUAAAACCUUUCUCAGAAUACCUGGGAGUCUGGAAUUAAUUAGAAUUGUCAUUUCCUGCUUUGAAUGCCCCUUUGUAAGGGUGCUACCUCAGCCCCUCCCUGUCCAAACCCAUGUACAAAGUGCCUCACCGCUGUCUACCAAGGUCACCCUGCUACACAGCUGUCCAACUGAGAGUGGGAGUCUGCAAUGAGUAGUAUUGCUUCUCUAAUUAUGAGUACAAGCUUAUGAUAUAUGCAUAUGCAUCUAAAUGUAGGACCAGGCUCUGAGCAAUCUGAUCGAGCUGCAGAUGUCCCUGUUCAUUGCAGGGGAGUUGGACUAGAUGACUUCUAAGGGUCCCUUCCAACUCAAACAAUUCUCUGAUUCUGUGUGUACAGUUCUACAGACUUUAUAUGCUGUUAUAACAAAAUUCAACUAAGUGACUUGCAUGUCACUGCAAAAACAUGAAGUCAACAGUAAGCAGCAUCAUUUCACCAAAGUAAAUGCAGCUUCAGUGGCUUAACUUCAGAGGGAUCAGAGGCCCUCUUCUUAUUUCCAUCACGACUGGAAGUUUGGGAGCACAGUUUAUGUGAAUGCAGCUGGAGAAAAAAAAUCCCUGGCGAAAAGAAAGGAAAAAAGUAAUGAUGCUAGAUUUAAACAAGACUGAAUUUUUUUUUUUCCUCCUAAGUACUUCUAAUAGGAACAAAUGGUUUAUCUUUUCAGAUCUGUAUACUUCUGUAGAAAUAUACCCCUGGGAAAAGGCUGCAAAGAUCCUGGCCACCAUGUUUACCUUCAACACCAAAAACUUGCUUCAGAAGGAGAAGACACAGAGUGUUAUGCUGGUUCCCAAAAUGAAGAGGAAGGUGCAUAGGAAUGGAGACUGAUUUAACCUCUGCUGCACAGAGGAGAGGAGGGAUCUGGUGGAUGUCUGACAAAUGUCACUGACAAGGUUAGUAAGAUCUUCCUCUUUGCAUUCCUUGCUAUUCCUUGUGGGAUUUUUGAGGUACUUAAGACUUCUAAACAGAGUAGUCCUUGGCAGCAAAAUUUCUGACCGCAGUGAGAAAACAAGCAAAGUCUGCCUUCAGGACAGUCACAUCGAGUGGGACUUGAAAAUUCCUCAUAGUAACCUGCUCGUAACUAAAGCAGUGCUCAAGUGACUCCAAGGGCCUCUUCUGGCUUAGACUCCUACACCCAUCUGCUUUGUGUCCUGGAAAACCCUCCGAAGGCAAGAAGAACGUGGGGCUGAGUGCACACCCCUGCUAUCUCAAACUUUUCAGAAGAUCAAGGGCACAGCGUGACUCCCCAGCCCUGGGGUUCCUCUGAUGUCGCACAGAGCUACAGGUGGCAGCUGUUAAUGCACUGAAUGUCGCUUCCCCCUGUAUCUGGCCAUGGAAAACAAAGUGAGCGAGAGGAUCGUUGCCAAACACUUUACAAGGAUGGAGCUUACACAAUUGGGCUCCACCCACAUGCCUCACAUGGGAAUUCUCUCCCUCACCAGCUGGGUUAAGAUCACAAGAUGGGAAAAAAAUAGGGGGAGGGAUGGGGGGGCGGGGGGGAGGGGAAGGGGAAAAAGAAAAAAAAACAAAAAAAAAGCACUGGAGUUGUUUUCUUUCCAUUGUGGCUCCUGAGCUGAAAGUUCCUUUACAAUAGAAUAAUAGAAUAAAGAUGAGAAGCAACACUGCUGAUGGCUCA
This 1681-nucleotide long non-coding RNA is filed under the name Coturnix japonica (Japanese quail). RNAcentral's name for it is "lncRNA (ENSCJPG00005004701.1)". Lineage: Eukaryota; Metazoa; Chordata; Aves; Galliformes; Phasianidae. The record is from RNAcentral.